This 69-nucleotide transfer RNA is filed under the name Aedes albopictus (Asian tiger mosquito). RNAcentral's name for it is "tRNA-Ile". RNAcentral also lists the same sequence under 5 other names. Lineage: Eukaryota; Metazoa; Arthropoda; Insecta; Diptera; Culicidae. The record is from RNAcentral.
AAUGAAUUGCCUGAUAAAAAGGAUUACCUUGAUAGGGUAAAUUAUAAAGAUUUAAUACUUUAUUCAUUA